Molecule: transfer RNA, 72 nt
Filed under: Hordeum vulgare
Lineage: Eukaryota; Viridiplantae; Streptophyta; Magnoliopsida; Poales; Poaceae
Description: tRNA-OTHER
Source: RNAcentral
GUGGCAGUGGUGUAGUGGUAGACUCUGUUGCUGUGUACCAGGAGGUACUGGGUUCGAUUCCCAGGAGCCAUG